RNAcentral lists this ribosomal RNA (468 nucleotides) under uncultured bacterium. RNAcentral's name for it is "partial 16S ribosomal RNA". It matches the Rfam family "Bacterial small subunit ribosomal RNA", at positions 28 to 507 of the family's 1533-position model. The record is from RNAcentral.
GACGAGCGCUGGCGGCGUGCUUAACACAUGCAAGUCGAACGGAAAGGCCCUGCUUUUGUGGGGUGCUCGAGUGGCGAACGGGUGAGUAACACGUGAGUAACCUGCCCUUGACUUUGGGAUAACUUCAGGAAACUGGGGCUAAUACCGGAUAGGAGCUCCUGCUGCAUGGUGGGGGUUGGAAAGUUUCGGCGGUUGGGGAUGGACUCGCGGCGUAUCAGCUUGUUGGUGGGGUAGUGGCUUACCAAGGCUUUGACGGGUAGCCGGCCUGAGAGGGUGACCGGCCACAUUGGGACUGAGAUACGGCCCAGACUCCUACGGGAGGCAGCAGUGGGGAAUAUUGCACAAUGGGCGGAAGCCUGAUGCAGCAACGCCGCGUGCGGGAUGACGGCCUUCGGGUUGUAAACCGCUUUCGCCUGUGACGAAGCGUGAGUGACGGUAAUGGGUAAAGAAGCACCGGCUAACUACGUG